RNAcentral lists this transfer RNA (53 nucleotides) under Desmognathus quadramaculatus (black-bellied salamander). RNAcentral's name for it is "partial tRNA-Ser". Lineage: Eukaryota; Metazoa; Chordata; Amphibia; Caudata; Plethodontidae. The record is from RNAcentral.
CCGAGAAGAGUAAGGAAACACAGAGACUGCUAAUUAUCUGACACGAGGUUAAA